GCUCAAACAGAAAGACCUAUGACUGAUGAACGCAGAAGGCCCGCCCAGGAGUUGGGGAGCCCUCAGGAGGCCAGAGCAGUGCAAACUAAAAUGAUGGCACACCCGGAAUCUCCUUGAGAGAGAGGGCACAGCCUCCCAGAGCUGCCCCGCCCGCAGGGGAAGGUCCCGAGGGGGCCUUGACCAACAGGAAACCACGCGCCGGGCAGCAGCGAAGCCCAGUAAUUGGGGCGGUGCUUCGCGCGAAGAGGGAAUUAAAAAGACAAAAAACACCUCGAACUCUGCUCCCAGGAGCCCCGCUGUGGGGCGGGGAAAGCAGUCGUUGGCCAAUGAGAGCAGCUGUUCCCCUGGCCCCGCCCCUGCUGCCUUCCCGCCCUUUACCCAGGCAGGAGGGCGCCGGCUCCUCGAGGCCGGGUGGCGGGCGAGGGAGGGAAUCGGUUAGGGCUCACGGGGAGCGCACGAGGAAUAAGCAGAGCGAACACAGACUAAUAAUUGUCAAGGGGCGAAAGGUGUCUGUUAGGGUCGGGCCAGGGGCCAGAGAGCGAAAGGAGCACCCAGAGGGAAGGUUGCGUCUGCGAGGCUGGGGAGAGGAGCGCGCCGGCCCAGCGGACGGCUGAGGAAUCUGAGCUAUUUAUCUUUCUACUAUUUGAGGAGAACAUUGAACUAAGGCAAGAAAAAGAGGAAUUUCCAGGGGUUGGCCCCGUGGCCGAGUGGUUAAGUUUGCACGCUCCCCUGCGGCGGCUCAGGGUUUUGCUGGUUUGGAUCCUGGGCGUGGACAUGGCACCGCUCGUCAGGCCACGUUGAGGCGGUGUCCCACAUGCCACAACUAGAAGGACCUGCAACUAAGGUAUACAACUAUGUACCAGGGGGAUUUGGGGAGAUAAAGCAGAAAAAAAAAAAAAAAGAGGAAUUUCUAAAUGGGAUACUACCAUGAUUGUGGGCAGAUGUCGUGUGAGUGAAUCUGUGGUAAAACUUGUGGGAUAGUACUAGACUUGAGCUUUAUCUAAUAUUGAUCUUCCCUCUGAAAUUUCAUUGGGUCUAUUCAUCACUGACCUCAUCUUAGACUCAGAAUUAAGGAAAAGUGACAGAAUGGGAAACGUUAAUUAGGUGAGUCAGUAUCUAAAAACUCCUAGCAUGGAACUUUUGAGUAAAUUUUGAGCUAGCAAGCGUUGCUUAGUCUCAAGGCUCAAGUGAGGGGUCUCACUUUCCCCUGGUCCCCAACUCUAAAUUUUGGAACCUAUACUCCCAGGGGUGCUUGCAAAGAGAAAAACAUAGCAUGAGUCCCCAUGAGGAGCCGUGAAUCCACUUAUGCAAUAAGCUCUAUGUGGAAGAGGAAGAUGAAAUAAGGGUGGCUGGCCUGCCCCCUGGGGGCUAAGGUCAGCUGAGGCAAGAAGGCAAGAGGGUGCAUGAGGUCUUUAGAGCUUAUAUAAUUUCCAUGGUUUCUAAGGCUUCGUGCAUAAAUAUGAAAACAUAGGCUUUUUUUCACUGAUGAUGAAUACACAGUCCAUUUGACUACCAUAUGAUAAACACAAUCAGGAAAAAGAAAAUUUCAAACGUGUAGUAAUGACACUGCUGUAAAUAGACCAGUGUGAUAUAUUGCGGAAGGAAAAGGUAAUCAAGGUCCCUGUGAACUAAAUUAUGACAUAGGGCUGGAGAGUUGAUAUAUCCCUGAGGUAGGACAGUGAAGGUGCAUUGCUGGUCUUGUCAGGUGAAAACAAACUGCUUCGGGUGGUCUUUACUAACAGGUGUCAAGAAAGAAGCGUUUGCCAGAUUAAUAGCUGCAUACCAGGUACCAGGGGAUGUGUUAAUUUGGUCAAGCAAUGAAACCACACAGAUGUGUGGUUUCAUUACAGCAGCUGCAAUUGGAGUCAAUCCCUGGUUAAGCUUAUGAUGAUAAUCCACUGUCAUUCUCCAAGAUCCAUCUGGCUUCAGCACAGGCCACGUAGGAGAUUUGAAUGGGGAUGUGGUGAGAAUCACCACGCCUGCAUCCUUCAAGUCCUUGAUGGUGGUGCUAAUCUUUGCAAUCCCUCCAGGAGUGUUGUAUUGCUUUUGGUUUACUGUUUGCCCAGGCAGAGGUGGUUCUAGUGGCUUUCACUUGGCCCUUCCGGCCAUAAUUGCCCUCACUCCACAGGGAGUGAAUGUGGGGAUUCUGCCAGUUGCUGAGCAUGCAUUCUAAAAAUGGGGAAAUAACCACAGGAUAAGUUUGGCAAUCUAGUGGGCCCUCUGUGAGAUGGAUCUGAGCUAAGCUUCCAUUGAUCACCUAAUCUCUAUAAGUCCUUAUUCUCACCGGUGGACCACAGUGACGUUUUGGGUCUCCUGGAAUUUGUGUUAGUUCAGAAUUAGUGUCCAGUAGUUACUGAAAGGUCUGAUGUUUUCUUUUCCCCAGUGCAUAGCAACUGUGGUGAAAGGCCAUAGGUCCCUUUGGGGAAGGCUGAGAAAAAGAUUAACAGUAUAAAUUUUAUAUAUCUCAAGAGAUUUAUUAUGAGGAAUUGGCUCAUAUGAUUAUGGAGGCUGAGAAAGUGCCACAAUCUGCUAUCUGCCACCUGGAGACAAGGAAAGCUUGUGGUGUGGUUCCAGAUCAAUUCCGAAGGUAUGAGAAUUGGAGCACCAAUGAGGUAAGUCCCAGUCCAAGGACAGGAGAAGACCAAUGCCACAGCUCAAGCAGUCAGACAAAGAAAGCAAAUUCUUUCCUCUGUCUUUUUAUUCUUUUCAGGCCCUCAACAAAUUGAAUGAUGCCCAAUCACUUUGGGAAGAAAAAUCUGCUUUACUCAGUGUGCCUAUCCCAAUGCUAGUCUCUUUCAGAAACACCCUCACAAACACACUAGAAAUAAUGUUUAACCAAAUAUUUGGGCAUCCUGUACCACCACCAAACUGACUAAUAAAAUUAACCAUCACAUGUCCGUUGUUCCCUCUUGCCCCGCUGGCUCAGGUUACUCUAGCAAGCCACUCAUAUUCAGACAUUUCAAGGCAAAAUGUAGGCACACAUAUUUAGGAACAUAUAAAUGUGACAAGCUCCCCACAAAAUUUGAUGGCAACAUCAUCAAUUGCACCAUUCUGUGAGCAUCCAACCAUAUAUUUAUACACGUGCCUCUCCUUUCUAAAUGCAACCCCCAAAACCUACUGGGAAUUUUCUUAGGACCUCCUUCCUCACACGUCUUGGGCUGGUGGUAGAGGAAGCUUACCUGUCCUCUAUGAGAAAGGAGAAAAAAGCCAUAAAUCUCUCCUAGGCUGUCACAGCUGUCACAAUUCUGACAAUUUCUUCUUCUCUCCUCCCCAGUCUUCUAAUGUUAUAAAUUGGGAAGGGUAGUGUAGACAGCUGAAUGUGGCAGAACUGAUUUGUCUGCAAAUUAUUGAACCCAGAGGGAGUAUCUGACCCCAAGGGUGGUUGGCUCCUUGGUGGUGGCUCUCUUUAGAACAUGAGGAAUGCAAUACCUCUAUGCCUCACUACAGGCCCCAGGCACCAGUUCUGGAGCAACCGGUAUAUUUCCACUCAACGUUUCUUACAUUUACAGUGAUUUCUUUUUUUAAAAUGUUACACAACUGUAAGUGGAAACAGUGGUUGCCUCUGGCAAAGGAAACUUGGAAACUAGAGACAUAAUUAUGUGUCCAUAUUACCUACUUAGAAAUAAUCUUAAAAAGGGAAAACAGGGGACUUAUGAAUUGGCUGUGCCAGAAUAGUUUCUGGACGAUGGUAGUGCUAACAGCCUGAUGGAAGUGGAUUAAGGCAUGCAUUUCCAGGGCAGGAUGUCCCUCCGGUGAAGAAGUUAAGCUUGGAGUAGUGGACCUGAAGAAGGCAUUGUUUAGCUGGAGGGGCAAAUAUUUUGGAUAUUUGUGAGGACUUGGGUGAGGCUAGAGAGAAUUUCUAGAAUGAGACUUUCUAAACGAUAUUAGUAUUCAUGGAUGACAUAAUGAAUCUGUGUAUUAGCAUUUCCUGUGUAGUCAUUCAUUCAAUAAACUGCCAGAGAAUAUAGUUCCACAAAGACAGGGGAUUUUGGCUCUUGUUUACUGAUGUAUCCCUGGCACUUAGAACAGUGCCUGGGAAAUGAUAGGCAUUCUGUAUCAAUCUUUAGAAUGAAUAAAUGAAUGUGGAUGACACAGAUAAGAUCAAUAUCCAAAGUCAUAAUGGCACCCAUGAAAACUAAUUCUGGGUAAUGCCAUGUAGUUCCUGUCAGCAGAACAGCUCCCCUCAGUCACUGCACAUCCCUGCCUUCCAAUGAGGUGGGGGAAGCUCUGGAGGAAGAAAGGAGGAGAAGCUGUUUAGGGUGAGAGUAGCUGGAGGAGAGACUAGAGCAAGCAGCCCCAAGCCUGGGAUGCCAUGUCAUAAGUUUCCCUCUGAUUUUUUUUCUUUCAUAUUCUUACUCUAAUCUCAAGAUAAUACCAUAAAAACAGAUUCCUAAAUUUCUGAGGAUGGGAAUGGGGCCUGGGAGCACAGAUCUCCUCUAAUUUGCAUGUCCAAGUCCAAUUUAAAAAAUACACAAAGAUCUCUCUAGGUCACAUUAAAAAGUUUUUAUUAAUUUCUGAUUUUAGCUCCUCUGAUUAUGCAAGACGUUGUUGGAUAUUAAAAAAGAGACCCUCUUCCACUUUUAGGAAUUUAUCAUACAGAAAUAGUUGUUCAACUGUGUCAAGGAAAUGUGUGCAAGAUGUUUAUUUACUUGUAACAGUGAAAGUUUAGAAAUCUAAUUAUGCAACAAUAGGGGAAUAGUUCAAUAAAUUAUGAUCAGUCUGUGGAGGAUGUAGAUGGAAUCAUGGUUAAAAUCAUGGACUCUGGAGCUAGAAUGUCUGGCUUCAAGUCCUGCUCUGCUAUUUACUAGUUGUGUGACUAAACCUCAAUUUCCAUAUCUAUGAAAUGGAGACAUCUGUCCCUACUUACUACAGUGAUUGUGUGACUUUGAAUAACUUAUUACAUCUGCUUGAUCUCGUCUUUUCACCAGUAAGAUAAAAAUAGUAAUGUCUACCUCCCUGGAAAGAAAAUAAUAACUGUGUAAAUUGCCUAGUUUAAUGUCUGACAUAAGUAAUAGUAAUAAUAUCUCACAUUUAUUGCACCCUUGUAAUGUGUCAGGCAUUGUUCACUUUAUAUACUUUGAUGGAUUUCAUCUUCACAAGAGAUUUGGGAUGAUUUCAACUCCAGGUAAUAUAAAUCUAACCAAACGUGACAAAACAAUGAAUACAAUGUUAAAUCACAUAACAAGGACCACAGAGAUGGAUGAUCCAAGGUUGUUCAAUUCAGCAACUAGGUUACCUCAUCAGAAGCCCAGGUGUUUUCUAAAUCUUUCUGCUUUGCCGUCUUCCCUUGAUGUUGGUUUGCCUUCUUAGUCUGAACACUCACAUGCUUCCAAGAUGGCUGACGUGGUUACAGGUAUCAAAUGCAAAAGCUACAUUCAGAGGAGCAAGAAAUGUCUCUGUGUUUGUGUCUCUUUUAAGAAUGAGGGCAAUCUUCCCAGAAGCCUCCCAGGAGAUUAACCUUACAUAUUUUUUACUAGAGUUUUAUCAUACUCUUGUACUUAAGUAACUAUUGGCAGGGAAAAAAGGAUCACCACAAUUGGUUCAGGCUAAUUAAGAUUGACCUCCUGGAGGUGGGAAGGGACCUAGCGAUCCCUGGAGCAUUUGGUCAUUAGGAAGAGAGAGAGGAAAGUUAGGACUCUCUUGGAAAGAAUGAAGAGGGGCAGUGUUGCUCACAUUCCUGUUUAAUUCCUUCCUCUUGAGUGUGGACUGACUUGCUCCUAAUGAAUACAAUACAGGAGAAAGGAUGGGAUGUCACUUCCAUGACUAGGCUGUAAGAGACUCUGACUUCCAUCUGGCUGGCAUUUUAUCUCUCUGGCUCCUCUUGUGUGCUUACUUUGAUGAAGCCAAGUGGAAAGGUCCAUGUGACAAGGAACUGAGGAUAGCCUCUCGUCAACUACGAGGGAGGAACUGAGGCCUCAGUCUAAACAUAGAAAUGUCCAUGACACUAAAUAAACAUCCAGUGUGCUAGAUAGCUUCCUUCUGCCCUUACAAAGCCAUUCUCCAUACUGCUCGUGCUCCCAGGGGAUGAUCUGUAUGGUCUCUGUCAUGGGCUCUCUUGCUCUCUGGAUUCUAUUUGGGUUCUACCAAGGGAGGCACUGACUGGAGAUGAGAGGUAGAACAGAGUGAGGUCUAGGUGUUUAUUCUCCUAGCAAUGUCUCUGCAAAUGUGACCUUAUUUGGAAAUAGAGUCUUUGCAGAUGUAAUCAAGUUAAGAUGAGGUCAUACUGUAUUAGUGUGGGCCUUUAUCCAAUGACUGAUCUCCCUAUAAAAAGAAGGAAAUUUAGGGGCUUGCCCGGUGGUGCAGCAGUGAAGUGCGCACUUUCCAUUUUGGUGUCCUGGGGUUUGCCGGUUCGGAUCCCAGGUGUGGACAUGGCACCGCUUGGCAAGCCAUGCUGUGGUAGGCGUCCCACGUAUAAAGUAGAGGAAGAUGGGCAUGGAUGUUAGCUCAGGACCAGUCUUCCUCAGCAAAAAGAGGAGGAUUGGCAGCAGAUGUUAGCUCAGGGCUAAUCUUCCUCAAAAGAAAAAAAAAAAAAAGAAGGAAAUUUACUCACAGACACACAGGGAGAAGGCCAUGUGAUGAUGAAGUAAUAUGUCUACAAGUGAAGGAAUGCCAAGGAUUGUGAGCAGCCACGAGAAGGAGAGAGGCAUGGAACAGAUUCUCCCUCAGAGACUCCAGAAGGAACCAACCCUUCUGACAUCUUGAUUUUGGACUUCUAGCCUCCAGGACUGUGAAAGAAUACAUUUCUGUUAUUUUAAACUACCCAGUUUGUACAGUUUGUUUUAAUUUGUUAUGGCAGCCCUAGGAAACAAAUGCAUUGAUCAGUCAUUUUUCUUUGGUGUUAUGUUAGAAAAUCAUAACCUUGUGCUGAAUAGCUCCAUUACUAUUUUAAUGUGUUUUUCCUGAUUAUGCUAUUGAAACUAUAGAAAAGUCUAAAGAAAAAAUCACAAUUAGGAGGUAUUAUCCAUAAUACUCCCAUGGUUAUCUUUUUGAUAUAUUUCCAUUGAUCCCUUGCCUAAACAUGAUUUUACGUAACUUUCUCAUAUGAUAUACAGAAUUCUUCAUUCUGGCUUUUUCACUUAAAAUGAUAGGUAAAUAGGUAUUUACAGAGUAAGCAACUCAUCAUAGAUAUUUUGAUGGCUGCAUAAAAUGCAUUAUGUAGGUGUUCUAUAUUUUAUUUAACAGUUUAUCUAUUGUUGAAUAAUUGGAUUGUUUUUUCUCUCUCUCUUUUUUUUUUUUUUUGUUAUUGGAAACAAUCUGUGGUGCAGGGUACGAUGAAACAAAAGUCUUGUUUCCAGAAGGGGAUUUAAUCUGGCUAUUGGUGAUUGGGGUAGAUUAGAGAAAUAUAUGUUAACAGGAUUGUCCCACAAUCAGAGACCAGCGUCUCCCAACUAAUCCAGAUGUGACUGCAAAGGAAAAAUUUAGGAUGGGAGUAGAAAGAGCCUUCCAGGGGCUGUCCUUAAGUUACACAGCAGGGAGAGCAGACCCUGGAGUUGCCGGAUUACUCAGAACAAGAUCCGCAGGGACAUCUCCUGGAAGUGUGCCCUUUGCUCACUCUUUUAAUAAGUCCCAGCUGCUCUUGAUCCUCUUUGGGCUGUCACCCAGGGAGUUCCUGUAGGGAUCUUCCUAACUAACCUCCUGAGACUCAUUUAGUGUAAAAGCAAAACUCAGGCUGACCUUAACUGAUGUGAAGCAAAGCUGCCUGUGGGGAUUUCCACACUUGGAUCCCCUGGGAAUCUCUAAGCAGCAAGUACUAAUGAGGCCAUGAGGGUCUGCAUUUGACUCCUUUCUCUUCUCUUAGACCUAUUCCCGCAGACACCAGAGAAGGAGGGAGGAUGAGGGGAUCGGCCUGGGCAGAGACUGACUAGGACCCAAGUGCCUCCCCAGAGUGUGUGCAACACUAUUUUCAGGCUUCCCCAGGUAGAAAAGUUUGGAAGUUCAGAGUCAUCUCUAUUGGCCUAACUGGGAUGUGCUUAGAAAUUCUCUGUAUUAUAAUUCAUUGGGGAAUAUCGGUCUUCUACUUGAGGUUAUUCAAUCUGGAAAAAUAUCAAUUCAUUACUUGUAUCUUUCUUUGGUCUGCUUCAGAAAGUGAAGUAUGGCAAGCUAAUGCCUUGGACAAAGAACCUUGGUAAUGAGAUUGGUAAACUUUCCGCAUAUGAGCUCCUCCCCAAGAGGCUGAGUCACAGGGAAGUUAUUCAGGUGCCUAAUCUAUACAGACCCCAUCCCCUCACUCUAGAACUGGAAAAUGUUCAGAUCAUUCCCUCUUUCUUUGAUUCAAAAUAUAUAUUCAGUCUACUAUGUGCCAAGCAGCGUACUGUGUAUUAUGGGAGACAAAUGAAUAAAAUACAGUAUUUGCCUUAAGGUGGAUAAAAAUAUGGCAGGAAAUAGAAGUUGUUCAAAACAAUUGCUACAAGAGUUAGGGUACAUUAAGUACCACAAACGAGGCACAAACAGAAAUCAGAGGAUGUUCAUACAUGGGACACUAUACUCAAUUUCUGACUGGAGAGAUAAGGCCUGGGAGAUAAAUCCUUAAGAGAGGACUGGGCAUUUAACCUCAAAAUUUCAAAUGUCCUCUCUUUUCUUUCUUCAUGGUCACUGGCUUGGAUCAGAUCUUCAUUAUCUCAUUUAUUUAUUCAUUCACUCACUCAUUCAACGUUUUUUUAAAAAACCAUCAAAGUAUCAAAGUCAAGGCCAGGCAUAGGGCUAUGACAGACAACAACACAGAAAUGGCUCUUACCUUCAUGGUGCUUAUACUCUAGUUGAGGAGAUAAGUAAACAGACAAAUAAGAGUGAUGAGAGAAUCAAAGAAAGAGCUAGGCAGAGAAUAGCAGGAGGAGAAGUUUUAGAAAGGAAGGUCAGGGAAGGCCUGUCUUAGAAAGUGAUGCAUAAGCUAAGAGUUAAGAUGAGACCAAGCUAGUUAUGGCAAAAAUUAAGGAAAAAGCAACAUCAUACGCAAGGCAAUGAAAUAGGAAAGAGUUGAGAAAGUUCAAGUUUCUGAAAUAAGAUACAUGUAGCUGGAAUAUAGUGAAUAAAGAAGAAACCAGAAUGAGAUGUGACGGGAGAGAUAGGUAGAAGGGAGAUAAUAUAUGGCCUUGAAUGCUAUUAUUAGGAUUUUAAAUUUUAUUCUAAGUGCAAUAGAAAGUCAUUUUUUUAAAAGAUUGAACAAUAUAACCUGAUUUAUAUUUUAAGAUGAGUCCUGCUGCAGUGUGGGAAAUCGAUAGGAGGAGGGUAAGAAUAAAAUUGAGAAGACCGAGGGAGUGACAUCAGCCUCGUGGUGGAGUGAGUUAUUCCCUUUGAGUCUCCCAUCUAAGUUACAGCCAAUCAGACAUCCAUUGACCAACAAAGAACUUCCUGCACAGCACACCAGAACUCCUGAGAGAUUCACGCAUGUAAACAUCUGAAGUUUCUACCCAGGAAUUUUCCGUGGCCGUGGAAUAUUGAUUCAAGACCUUAAAAGAUAUCUUCCAACAUAUGAUGUGCAAAGAAGAAAAAAGGGAGAAGAGAAGUAGAGGAGAAGGAAUUUGGUGACAAACAGACCAUUUCCAGCCACAGCAACAGAAUGAGCAGCAGACCUGGACGUUCUUGUUGAGACUGAGAGCCACAAGGAAAACAAAGAGAUAUGCAGAGGUAGGGAAAAAGCAAUUGAUUGAAGAAAUAUGCUGUGAGGUAUGUGAUACAAUCCCUAAAUGGUGGCCCCAAAAUUCUUCAAGAAAGCUCUCAGAAGAAAAUAAGAACUGAUCAAUGGAAUUUCGUUACUUCUCAAAUGCAGCAAGAGGAGGAGCUGUAUGCCAAAUAUGUGUGGAUUAUUAAUGAGGAGAAGGAAGGGCAGAAGCAAGAACAGGGAGACUGAGAAGAGCACCCAUUUGCCCAGGUUGUAAACUAGGGGUAAGAGUUAUAGAGCAAAAUCUCCUAGAGUCAAGGAAGCUUUGAGUGACAACUGCAUUGUACAAGAAAAUAAAAAGAGCAGUUUAACUUGUUUGCACAUUUAUUUGCCUCCACUUAAAAAUGUUGUGACUAGGCUGGAGGCAUGUUGUGCAAUUUAAAUGUAUGCUUUAUUGUUUUCAUGAAGAUUCCUUCCUACCUCUCAUUUUACUUACUACUACGUUUCCUGAGACUCUCUACUCACAUCUCUAUCUUCCUUCCCUCCUACCCCUAUUCUGUUACCUAAAGUCUAGAGCAGGGGUUCUCAGUGGGGAUAAUUUUCUCCCCUGAGGGUAUUUGGCAAUGUCUGAAGACAUUUUGGGGUUGCCAAAACUAGAGGAGGGAGCAUGCUACUGGUAUCCUACAGUAGGUAGAGGCCAGGGAUGCUGCUGAAUAUCCUACAAUACAUAGGAUAGUCACCAUAAUAAAGAAUUAUGUGGCCUGAAAUGUCAAUAGGGCUGAAGUUGAGUAACCCUGGUCUGGAGAUGAGGUAUUAAAAGGGCAGAAUUAGGAAAAUAAUGAGAAGUAUUGAUAUGGGAAGAGAAGAGAUAGGAAGAAAUCUAGAAGAAUUUAGGAUACAGACUUCUAUUCACAAAGCCAUUUUCUGGUCAACUGUGGGGAGAUUUCUGCUGACACUGCCACGGCAACGAUCUAUAUAAGUAGUUGUGACAAAACCUUCUCUAAAAUCUUUUGUCUAAAAUCUAAAAUGUUUGUCUCUAUCUGAGCCUACCUCUACCUCUCUGGUUUUCUCAAGUUACAGGACUUUUCCUACCCAAUUACGCCCUUCUGUCUGCCACUAGCAUAGACUACUACUUAAAUUAGGCCUUUUCCUGUUACUUCAAAGCAAACUUCAUCCACCUAGCGGUGAUCCUUCCCUUGUUCCCACCAAUCUCACAUUCCUGCCUAGCUCAGGCCCACCCCUCAUCAUUUCCCACCCACUUUCAUUUGCAGUGGGACUCCUACAAAUGCCAUUUUAGUGCAACCUGUGGAAACCAUGUGCCUUCAUGGAAAUAGUCCCGAGAAUUUCAACAUUUUUUUCUCAUUCACUUUACCAAUAUCCUUCUUUUACCAAUGCUUAUAUUUCCUCGCCCAUAUGCUCCAACCACCCUGAAGGGCCUGUUCUACCUUUCAUAUGUGCUGGAUAUUUUCUUUUGCCCCGCUAGAAGUAAAUAUACACCUUCUCCCC
Molecule: long non-coding RNA, 11104 nt
Filed under: Equus caballus (horse)
Lineage: Eukaryota; Metazoa; Chordata; Mammalia; Perissodactyla; Equidae
Description: lncRNA (ENSECAG00000052731.1)
Source: RNAcentral